AAUGGGAAGUGUAUUCAAUUCUCUACAAAUCAACAACUUACACUUGUGUCCAAGAACUUUUACGGCUCUAUUAUUUAAAAUAUGUAUAGCAUGUUUGGAUUUUAUGAUCACUUUAGCCACUUACGAGGAUCUCAAACUAAAUAUUCACUUUUU
Molecule: small RNA, 153 nt
Filed under: Arabidopsis thaliana (thale cress)
Lineage: Eukaryota; Viridiplantae; Streptophyta; Magnoliopsida; Brassicales; Brassicaceae
Description: ATSL154310
Source: RNAcentral